UUGGAGGGCAAGUCUGGUGCCAGCAGCCGCGGUAAUUCCAGCUCCAAUAGCGUAUAUUAAAGUUGUUGCAGUUAAAAAGCUCGUAGUUGAAUUUCGGGGUCAGUAGGUUGGUCGUGCCACCGGUACGUACUGGUCUCACUGAUUCCUCCUUCCUGAUGAGCUGUAAUGCCAUUAAUUUGGUGUUGCAGGGAAUCUGGACUGUUACUUUGAAAAAAUUAGAGUGUUUAAAGCAGGCUAACGCUUGAAUACAUUAGCAUGGAAUAAUGAAAUAGGACGUUCGAUCCUAUUUUGUUGGUUUCUAGGAUUGACGUAAUGAUUAAUAGGGAUAGUUGGGGGCAUUAGUAUUCAAUUGUCAGAGGUGAAAUUCUUGGAUUUAUUGAAGACUAACUACUGCGAAAGCAUUUGCCAAGGAUGUUUUCAUUAAUCAAGAACGAAAGUUAGGGGAUCGAAGACGAUCAGAUACCGUCGUAGUCUUAACCAUAAACUAUGCCGACUAGGGAUCGGAUGA
RNAcentral lists this ribosomal RNA (508 nucleotides) under uncultured Glomus. RNAcentral describes it as "SSU rRNA". It matches the Rfam family "Eukaryotic small subunit ribosomal RNA", at positions 548 to 1060 of the family's 1831-position model. Lineage: Eukaryota; Fungi; Glomeromycota; Glomeromycetes; Glomerales; Glomeraceae. The record is from RNAcentral.